RNAcentral lists this ribosomal RNA (497 nucleotides) under uncultured bacterium. Its description in RNAcentral is "partial 16S ribosomal RNA". It matches the Rfam family "Bacterial small subunit ribosomal RNA", at positions 28 to 507 of the family's 1533-position model. The record is from RNAcentral.
GAUGAACGCUGGCGGCGUGCCUAAUACAUGCAAGUCGAGCGAACAGACGAGGAGCUUGCUCCUCUGACGUUAGCGGCGGACGGGUGAGUAACACGUGGAUAACCUACCUAUAAGACUGGGAUAACUUCGGGAAACCGGAGCUAAUACCGGAUAAUAUAUUGAACCGCAUGGUUCAAUAGUGAAAGACGGUUUUGCUGCCACUUAUAGAUGGAUCCGCGCCGCAUUAGCUAGUUGGUAAGGUAACGGCUUACCAAGGCAACGAUGCGUAGCCGACCUGAGAGGGUGAUCGGCCACACCGGAACUGAGACCCGGUCCAGACUCCCAAGGGAGGCAGCAGUAGGGAAUCUUCCGCAAUGGGCGGAAGCCUGACGGAGCAACGGCGCGUGAGUGAUGAAGGUCUUCGGAUCGUAAAACUCUGUUAUUAGGGAAGAACAAAUGUGUAAGUAACUAUGCACGUCUUGACGGUAACUAAUCAGAAAGCCACGGCUAACUACGUG